AUACGUAGGUGGCAAGCGUUAUCCGGAAUUACUGGGCGUAAAGCGCACGCAGGCGGCCAGUCAAGUCUGACGUGAAAGCUCCUGGCUUAACUGGGAGAGGUCGUUGGAAACUGAUUGGCUUGAGGCAAUGAGAGGGACACGGAAUUCCCGGUGUAGUGGUGGAAUGCGUAGAUAUCGGGAGGAACACCAGUGGCGAAAGCGGUGUCCUGGCAUUGACCUGACGCUCAUGUGCGAAAGCGUGGGGAGCGAACGGAAUUAGAAACCCCUGUAGUCC
Molecule: ribosomal RNA, 274 nt
Filed under: uncultured bacterium
Lineage: Bacteria
Description: partial 16S ribosomal RNA
Rfam family: Bacterial small subunit ribosomal RNA
Source: RNAcentral